Molecule: long non-coding RNA, 890 nt
Organism: Cucumis sativus (cucumber)
Lineage: Eukaryota; Viridiplantae; Streptophyta; Magnoliopsida; Cucurbitales; Cucurbitaceae
Exons: 2
Source: RefSeq, a predicted model, not a curated record
AAGCAGUCUUUGAAUUCCUCUUGAUCCAUCCACAGCACAGUAUCCUAUGAGUUUGACAAGAUUUGGAUGCUCCACAAUACCAAGAAAUUGAACUUCAGCCAGCCACUGCUUAUGGCCCUAUGUGCAAAAUAAACCCGGUACACUCCGAGGAGAAGUCAGAGAGCACGAAGAAGCAGCUGUCCGACUACACCCUGAAAAGUCAGAUUCUUGCUGCUCUUUCAAUUGAGGUGCCGAUCUUUGACGCCUACUCCUGGAUUUGUCUUUGAAGUAGUAGAAGCACUUCAUUGUCUAUAUGAUUUUCUGGGAAUUUGAUGAGCCUUUGUAAUUGAUCUCCAAGAAGAAAUGAAAUGCAAAAAACUCAGUUGUUUCGAGUCUCAAGAGUAGAGAGGAAAACAAAACUUAUAAAGAGGAGAAAACACAAGAAAGACGUCACGAAGAAUCUCAAUGUCGGAAGGAGUAAACAGAUCAAAGAACUCCAAAUAGGGAACAGGGAAAACAACAGGAGCAGCGUGAAGAAGAAGUAGAAAAUGGGGGAAACAGAUGAGAAAAAUGAAGACAGUUAUGGAGAAAAAAGACUUGUUUGGUGUACUUCUCCAAAAAAAAAAAGAAGAAUAGACAAAAAAGGCGGCUAUAUCUGAUUGUUUCCUUGUUCUCUAUUCGAGACAGUCCAGCUAGACAAGAAUUUGGCAAACACAAGUUUGAAAUUGAAAACAAAAUUUGUGGAGCAUUCACUUUUGACUUGUGUUUCUUCUUCUUCUUCUUCUUCUUCGUCUUCAGGAGAUUGGAGAGAGCUUGAUGGGAGAUAAAAGGAAAAUAGAAAGACUAAUCUGGGUUUGCCUUUUAAAGUUGUAGCAAAAUACAGAGAGACCAAAUUUAUGGGUUUUCUUGUU